AUACGGAGGAUCCGAGCGUUAUCCGGAUUUAUUGGGUUUAAAGGGUGCGUAGGUGGUUAAUUAAGUCAGCGGUGAAAGUUUGUGGCUCAACCAUAAAAUUGCCGUUGAAACUGGUUGACUUGAGUAUAUUUGAGGUAGGCGGAAUGCGUGGUGUAGCGGUGAAAUGCAUAGAUAUCACGCAGAACUCCGAUUGCGAAGGCAGCUUACUAAACUAUAACUGACACUGAAGCACGAAAGCGUGGGGAUCAAACAGGAUUAGAUACCCUGGUAGUCCACGCAGUAAACGAUGAUUACUAGCUGUUUGCGAUACACAGUAAGCGGCACAGCGAAAGCGUUAAGUAAUCCACCUGGGGAGUACGCCGGCAACGGUGAAACUCAAAUGAAUUGGCGGGG
Molecule: ribosomal RNA, 393 nt
Filed under: uncultured bacterium
Lineage: Bacteria
Description: partial 16S ribosomal RNA
Rfam family: Bacterial small subunit ribosomal RNA
Source: RNAcentral